UUACACUUUUAAUGAGACAGGGCUUC
RNAcentral lists this small RNA (26 nucleotides) under Bombyx mori (domestic silkworm). RNAcentral describes it as "ovarian small RNA-36429". Lineage: Eukaryota; Metazoa; Arthropoda; Insecta; Lepidoptera; Bombycidae. The record is from RNAcentral.